This 253-nucleotide ribosomal RNA is filed under the name uncultured bacterium. Its description in RNAcentral is "partial 16S ribosomal RNA". It matches the Rfam family "Bacterial small subunit ribosomal RNA", at positions 524 to 776 of the family's 1533-position model. The record is from RNAcentral.
UACGUAGGUGGCUAGCGUUGUCCGGAUUUACUGGGCGUAAAGAGCGCGCAGGCGGUCGUUCAAGUCGAGUGUGAAAGCCCCCGGCUCAACUGGGGAGGGUCACUCGAUACUGAUCGACUUGAAGGCGGGAGAGGGAAGCGGAAUUCCCGGUGUAGAGGUGAAAUUCGUAGAUAUCGGGAGGAACACCAGUGGCGAAGGCGGCGAUCUGGGCAGUUACUGACGCUGAGGUGCGAAAGCGUGGGGAGCAAACAGG